RNAcentral lists this ribosomal RNA (438 nucleotides) under uncultured bacterium. RNAcentral's name for it is "bacterial SSU rRNA". It matches the Rfam family "Bacterial small subunit ribosomal RNA", at positions 61 to 518 of the family's 1533-position model. The record is from RNAcentral.
GUCGAACGGGGGUAGCAAUACCCUAGUGGCGAACGGGUGAGUAACACAUAAGCAAUCUGCCCUUCGAACAGGGGGAUAACAGCGGGAAACUGCUGCUAAUACCGCAUAAGACCACGGUACCGCAUGGUACAGGGGUAAAAACGAAUCAGUGGUGAAGGAUGAGCUUAUGUCCCAUUAGCUAGUUGGUGAGAUAACAGCCCACCAAGGCGACGAUGGGUAGCCGACCUGAGAGGGUGAUCGGCCACACUGGAACUGAGACACGGUCCAGACUCCUACGGGAGGCAGCAGUGGGGAAUAUUGGGCAAUGGAGGAAACUCCUUACCCAGCAAUGCCGCGUGAGUGAAGAAGGUCUUCGGAUUGUAAAGCUCUUUGAUUGGGGACGAAGAAAGUGACGGUACCCAAAGAACAAGCCCCGGCUAACUACGUGCCAGCAGCAGC